GAUCACAGGCGAAGAAGGACGUAAUAGCUUGCGAAAAGCUGCGGGGAGUUGGCAAAUGAGCAUUGAUCCGCAGAUAUCCGAAUGGGGAAACCCACCUCUUUUUAGGAGGUAUCCUUAUCUGAAUACAUAGGGUGAGGAGGCGAACCGAGUGAACUGAAACAUCUAAGUAACUCGAGGAGAAGAAAUCAACCGAGAUUCUGAAAGUAGUGGCGAACGAAAUUGGAUGAGCCGCAACGAGAUAGUAAUUGUAGUAGUCGAACUUACUGGGAAGUAAGACCGUAGAGGGUGAUAGUCCUGUAGACGAAACUAUAGUUAUGGUACUAGGCGUUGCAACAAGUAGGGCGGGACACGUGUAAUCCUGUUCGAAGAUGGGGGGACCAUCCUCCAAGGCUAAAUACUCGUGAUCGACCGAUAGUGAACCAGUACCGUGAGGGAAAGGCGAAAAGAACCCCGGGAGGGGAGUGAAAUAGAACCUGAAACCGUGUGCAUACAAACAGUCGGAGCCCUAGACUUAAGGGUCCUGCAAUUUAGGGGUUCUUUGUGAUGCCUUAAGGCAUCACUAAAGAUAUUCCCAAGUAAAUAGAAUCGAUAUAUUUGAUAAGGAAAAUAAAAGAAGUGAGAAAUGCCUUAAGGCAUCACUAAAGAUAUUCCCAAGUAAAUAGAAUCGAUAUAUUUGAUAAGGAAACUAAAAGAAGUGAGGAAUGCCUUAAGGCAUCACUAAAGAUAUUUCUAAGUAAAUAGCAAGCGAUGUAAUUAACAAAUUUAGUAGGGUCUUUAAGUCUAGGGUGACGGCGUACCUUUUGUAUAAUGGGUCAGCGACUUACAUUCAGUGGCAAGCUUAACCGAAUAGGGUAGGCGUAGCGAAAGCGAGUCCGAAUAGGGCGUCAAUAGUCGCUGGGUGUAGACCCGAAACCAGAUGAUCUAUCCAUGGCCAGGUUGAAGGUGCCGUAACAGGUACUGGAGGACCCAACCCACUAAUGUUGAAAAAUUAGGGGAUGAGCUGUGGAUAGGGGUGAAAGGCUAAACAAAUCUGGAAAUAGCUGGUUCUCUCCGAAAACUAUUUAGGUAGUGCCUCAUGAAUAACUGUUGGGGGUAGAGCACUGUUAUGGCUAGGGGGUCAUGGCGACUUACCAAACCAUGGCAAACUCCGAAUACUGACAAGUUCGAUCAUGGGAGACAGAGCACUGGGUGCUAACGUCCAGACUCAAGAGGGAAACAACCCAGACCGCCAGCUAAGGUCCCUAAAAUUGGCUAAGUGGGAAACGAAGUGGGAAGGCAUAGACAGUCAGGAGGUUGGCUUAGAAGCAGCCACCCUUUAAAGAAAGCGUAAUAGCUCACUGAUCGAGUCGUCCUGCGCGGAAGAUGUAACGGGGCUAAGCCAGUUACCGAAGCUGCGGAUGC
Molecule: ribosomal RNA, 1401 nt
Filed under: Taylorella asinigenitalis
Lineage: Bacteria; Pseudomonadati; Pseudomonadota; Betaproteobacteria; Burkholderiales; Alcaligenaceae
Description: bacterial LSU rRNA
Rfam family: Bacterial large subunit ribosomal RNA
Source: RNAcentral